This 497-nucleotide ribosomal RNA is filed under the name uncultured bacterium. RNAcentral's name for it is "partial 16S ribosomal RNA". It matches the Rfam family "Bacterial small subunit ribosomal RNA", at positions 28 to 507 of the family's 1533-position model. The record is from RNAcentral.
GACGAACGCUGGCGGCGUGCCUAAUACAUGCAAGUUGAGCGCUGAAGGUUGGUACUUGUACCAACUGGAUGAGCAGCGAACGGGUGAGUAACGCGUGGGGAAUCUGCCUUUGAGCGGGGGACAACAUUUGGAAACGAAUGCUAAUACCGCAUAAAAACUUUAAACACAAGUUUUAAGUUUGAAAGAUGCAAUUGCAUCACUCAAAGAUGAUCCCGCGUUGUAUUAGCUAGUUGGUGAGGUAAAGGCUCACCAAGGCGAUGAUACAUAGCCGACCUGAGAGGGUGAUCGGCCACAUUGGGACUGAGACACGGCCCAAACUCCUACGGGAGGCAGCAGUAGGGAAUCUUCGGCAAUGGACGAAAGCCUGACCGAGCAACGCCGCGUGAGUGAAGAAGGGUUUCGGAUCGUAAAACUCUGUUGGUAGAGAAGAACGUUGGUGAGAGUGGAAAGCUCAUCAAGUGACGGUAACUACCCAGAAAGGGACGGCUAACUACGUG